This 467-nucleotide ribosomal RNA is filed under the name uncultured bacterium. RNAcentral describes it as "partial 16S ribosomal RNA". It matches the Rfam family "Bacterial small subunit ribosomal RNA", at positions 29 to 507 of the family's 1533-position model. The record is from RNAcentral.
ACGAACGCUGGCGGCGUGCUUAACACAUGCAAGUCGAACGGAAAGGCCCUGCUUUUGUGGGGUGCUCGAGUGGCGAACGGGUGAGUAACACGUGAGUAACCUGCCCUUGACUUUGGGAUAACUUCAGGAAACUGGGGCUAAUACCGGAUAGGAGCUCCUGCUGCAUGGUGGGGGUUGGAAAGUUUCGGCGGUUGGGGAUGGACUCGCGGGUUAUCAGUCUGUUGGUGGGGUAGUGGCUUACCAAGGCUUUGACGGGUAGCCGGCCUGGGAAGGGGACCGGGCACAUUGGGACUGAGGUACGGACCAGACUCCUACGGGAGGCAGCGGGGGGGAAUAUUGCACAAUGGGCGGAAGCCUGAUGCAGCAACGCCGCGUGCGGGAUGACGGCCUUCGGGUUGUAAACCGCUUUCGCCUGUGACGAAGCGUGAGUGACGGUAAUGGGUAAAGAAGCACCGGCUAACUACGUG